This 485-nucleotide ribosomal RNA is filed under the name uncultured bacterium. Its description in RNAcentral is "partial 16S ribosomal RNA". It matches the Rfam family "Bacterial small subunit ribosomal RNA", at positions 29 to 523 of the family's 1533-position model. The record is from RNAcentral.
AGUGAACGCUGGCGGCGUGCUUAACACAUGCAAGUCGAACGAGAACGGAAUAUAGCUUGCUAUAUUUGUCAGCUAAGUGGCGCACGGGUGAGUAAUGUAUAGAUAACCUGCCCUUAAGAAAGGAAUGACAGUUGGAAACGACUGCUAAUGCCCUAUAUGCCUUUAAUACAUAAGUAUGCAAGGGAAACGCUUUAGUGCUCAAGGAUGGGUCUGUAUGGUAUCAGCUUGUUGGUGAGGUAAUGGCUCACCAAGGCUAUGACGCCUAACUGGUUUGAGAGGAUGAUCAGUCACACUGGAACUGAGACACGGUCCAGACUCCUACGGGAGGCAGCAGUGGGGAAUAUUGCACAAUGGACGAAAGUCUGAUGCAGCAACGCCGCGUGGAGGAUGACACAUUUCGGUGCGUAAACUCCUUUUAUAUAGGAAGAUAAUGACGGUACUAUAUGAAUAAGCACCGGCUAACUCCGUGCCAGCAGCCGCGGUAA